UGGGGAAUAUUGCACAAUGGGCGCAAGCCUGAUGCAGCGACGCCGCGUGGGGGAUGACGGCCUUCGGGUUGUAAACUCCUUUCGCCAGGGACGAAGCGUUUUGUGACGGUACCUGGAGAAGAAGCACCGGCUAACUACGUGCCAGCAGCCGCGGUAAUACGUAGGGUGCAAGCGUUGUCCGGAAUUACUGGGCGUAAAGAGCUCGUAGGUGGUUUGUCACGUCGUCUGUGAAAUUCCACAGCUUAACUGUGGGCGUGCAGGCGAUACGGGCUGACUUGAGUACUGUAGGGGUAACUGGAAUUCCUGGUGUAGCGGUGAAAUGCGCAGAUAUCAGGAGGAACACCGAUGGCGAAGGCAGGUUACUGGGCAGUUACUGACGCUGAGGAGCGAAAGCAUGGGUAGCAAACAGGAUUAGAUACCCUGGUAGUCCAUGCCGUAAACGGUGGGCGCUAGGUGUAGGGGCCCUUUGGGGUUUCUGUGCCGUAGCUAACGCAUUAAGCGCCCCGCCUGGGGAGUACGGCCGCAAGGCUA
This 531-nucleotide ribosomal RNA is filed under the name uncultured bacterium. Its description in RNAcentral is "bacterial SSU rRNA". It matches the Rfam family "Bacterial small subunit ribosomal RNA", at positions 355 to 896 of the family's 1533-position model. The record is from RNAcentral.